CCUACGGGAGGCAGCAGUGGGGAAUAUUGGACAAUGGGGGGAACCCUGAUCCAGCCAUGCCGCGUGUGUGAAGAAGGCCCUCGGGUUGUAAAGCACUUUCAGUGAGGAAGAACACCUGGUGGUUAAUACCCAUCAGGAAAGACAUCACUCACAGAAGAAGCACCGGCUAACUCCGUGCCAGCAGCCGCGGUAAUACGGAGGGUGCGAGCGUUAAUCGGAAUUACUGGGCGUAAAGCGCGCGUAGGUGGCUUGAUAAGCCGGUUGUGAAAGCCCCGGGCUCAACCUGGGAACGGCAUCCGGAACUGUCAAGCUAGAGUGCAGGAGAGGAAGGUAGAAUUCCCGGUGUAGCGGUGAAAAGCGUAGAGAUCGGGAGGAAUACCAGUGGCGAAGGCGGCCUUCUGGACUGACACUGACAAUGAGGUGCGAAAGCGUGGGUAGCAAACAGGAUUAGAUACCCUAGUAGUC
Molecule: ribosomal RNA, 465 nt
Filed under: Vreelandella stevensii
Lineage: Bacteria; Pseudomonadati; Pseudomonadota; Gammaproteobacteria; Oceanospirillales; Halomonadaceae
Description: partial 16S ribosomal RNA
Rfam family: Bacterial small subunit ribosomal RNA
Source: RNAcentral